Molecule: ribosomal RNA, 1235 nt
Filed under: metagenome
Description: bacterial LSU rRNA
Rfam family: Bacterial large subunit ribosomal RNA
Source: RNAcentral
UGAAUACGAGACGCUAAGGCGUCGAAGUAGUGUAUGUCAUACUUCCAAGAAAAGCUUGCACUGUCAUAGAUAAAAAACGCCUGUACCAUAACCGACACAGGUGGGUAGGUAGAGUAUACUAAGGGGCGCGAGAUAACUCUCUCUAAGGAACUCGGCAAAAUAACUCCGUAACUUCGGGAGAAGGAGUGCCUUAUUCGUAAGGUUGCAAUAACAAGAUCCAAGCAACUGUUUAUCAAAAACACAGGUCUCCGCUAAGUCGUAAGACGAUGUAUGGGGGCUGACGCCUGCCCAGUGCCAGAAGGUUAAAGAAGUUGGUUAGCAAUUGCGAAGCUGAUAACUGAAGCCCUGGUGAACGGCGGCCGUAACCAUAACGGUCCUAAGGUAGCGAAAUUCCUUGCCGGGUAAGUUCCGACCCGCACGAAAGGCGUAAUGAUUUGGAUACUGUCUCGGAGAGGGGCUCGGUGAAAUAGACUUGUCUGUGAAGAUGCGGACUACCUGCACCAGGACAGAAAGACCCUAUGAAGCUUUACUGUAACUUGAAAUUGAAAUUGGACUUUAUUCGCGCAGCAUAGGUGGGAGGCGUUGAUUAUAAUCUUGCGGGAUUAUUGGAGCCAUCAGUGAGAUACCACUCUUGUAAUGUUAGAUUUCUAACUUUGAAUCAUUAUCUGGUCAAAGAACAGUUUCAGGCGGGCAGUUUGACUGGGGCGGUCGCCUCCUAAACGGUAACGGAGGCGUACAAAGGUUUCCUCUGAACGGUUAGAAAUCGUAUCUAGAGUGUAAAGGCAUAAGGAAGCUUGACUGUGAGACCUACAAGUCGAGCAGGGACGAAAGUCGGUCUUAGUGAUCUGACGGUACUGAGUGGAAAGGCCGUCACUCAACGGAUAAAAGUUACUCUAAGGAUAACAGGCUGAUCUCCCCCAAGAGUUCACAUCGACGGGGAGGUUUGGCACCUCGAUGUCGGCUCAUCGCAUCCUGGGGCGGUAGUACGUCCCAAGGGUUGGGCUGUUCGCCCAUGAAAGCGGUACGCGAGCUGGGUUCAGAACGUCGUGAGACAGUUCGGUCCAUAUCCGGUGUAGGCGUUAGAAUAUUGAGAGGAGCCUUCUUUAGUACGAGAGGACCGAGAAGGACAUACCUCUGGUGUACCAGUUAUCGUGCCAACGGUAAACGCUGGGUAGCUAUGUAUGGAGUGGAUAACCGCUGAAAGCAUCUAAGUGGGAAGCCCACCUCAAGAUAAG